AAUCAACGCUGGCGGCGUGCCUCAGACAUGCAAGUCGAACGAUUAAAGCUCUCUUCGGAGAGUGCAUAGAGUGGCGCACGGGUGAGUAACACGUAAGUAAUCUACCUUUGAGUGGGGAAUAACGUCCGGAAACGGACGCUAAUACCGCAUAAUGCAGCGGCAUCGCAAGAUGACAGUUGUUAAAGAUUUAUCGCUUGAAGAGGAGCUUGCGGCAGAUUAGCUAGUUGGUAAGGUAAUGGCUUACCAAGGCUACGAUCUGUAACCGGUCUAAGAGGACGGUCGGUCACACUGACACUGAAUAACGGGUCAGACUCCUACGGGAGGCAGCAGUCGGGAAUUUUGGGCAAUGGGCGAAAGCCUGACCCAGCAACGCCGCGUGAAGGAUGAAGUAUUUCGGUAUGUAAACUU
Molecule: ribosomal RNA, 408 nt
Filed under: uncultured bacterium
Lineage: Bacteria
Description: bacterial SSU rRNA
Rfam family: Bacterial small subunit ribosomal RNA
Source: RNAcentral